UUUGAUUCACACCUUUCCUUAAUAUAUCUUUAUUGCUUUAAUUUUUCAAUACAGAACAGCUUACAUUUCUGAUUCUGAAGCGCCGUAAUACCAGAAGGGAGGGAGCAGUGUAGCUAACGUUGAAGGUUCUGAUCCAGGUCCUUUCAUGGGGUCAGUUCUGGUGUGGCCGUAGCAGCGACGCAAAGUUCCCUUUCACAACGGGUCAGAACGUCAGACAGUGACACAGACAGCCACUUUAAUUGUUUUUUUACAGAGUCACGACUUGAUUUCCUCUUCAAAACGAGAGAGGAUAAUAUGGUCAAGGGUGACAGAAAUUUGAAGUGAGGGAUAAAAAUGAAGAAUGAAAAGGAGACAAACAAAAAGGAAAAACACCUUGUUUAUGGGUUGAUGAAAAUAGUCUGGACUACGCUUUCAACCACGGGGAUUUGAGCACAAGUUCAUUUUCUCUGUUCUCCUGAUUUGAGUUCACAAUCAAGUGCUAAAUGUAGUGAUUGACAGUUAAGCAUUACAAAUAAAAUCAUGACUUGGAAGAACUUCUUGCAACUCAGGAAAAUGAAGUGUUGAAUAUGCAUUUUAUAAAGACCCUGAGAGCGAGAGAAAAAAGAAAUUAUCCUUAAUUGAACAAAAAGUUUACAUGCAAAACUAGCCUAAAACUCACCCAUUAUACACAAUUAAUUUCACAGUUUUAUACAUAUUUAUAUAUCUGAGAAAAAAUAUAUAUUUUCUUAGCCAAACUAAAAAAAAAAAACGUUUUUUUUUUUUAAUAAUAGAUCCACACAGUCUAUAAAACACGUACAAUGGUGUACAUAAAGCUUUAGAAUCAAUAGUGAUUAUUGCUAAUAGAAGUUCCAGGCCGAUGCUGGGCGACCAUUUUGUGGAUUUGAAUCCGUUAUUCUCUGCAGCAUCAAUGUGGUAAUCAUAAAUGGCUUCUCCUCAAGUCACAUCUCUUCACCCCUCACUGGGUUUCCAAAUAAAUAGAAUAAAAACAGUCCAUGUGCAUUCUUAUGGGACUCAUAAUCACACACCCACACAGGGACAAAUGAGAGAAGUGGAGUCCCUUGACAGUGUUUUUGAGGACAGGAUUGCAUUUUGCAUUCUAGUCUGCCAAUACUUUCCCAGUGCCUGAGAGCAGGGUUGGGAUGGGGAAGAUACCGGGGUACGGCCACUAAAGGGCAGUCUUCUGCAUGGAGUAGCAGCUUCGCCACCUGUUAACACCCCCCACUUAAUACUCUGUGUUACGUUCAAGUUCUAAACACAGCUCAGAAAUUCACUUCGGUUCAUUCUCUCUCUGAUUGCUUAGCCGUUUAUUGUCGUAGUAGUAGUAGGUUUGUUUGUAUGUUGUUAGUGCCAGAUGGGCAGUUGUCCGGCGGCGGCUGACUAGUCCAGUGCUCUCUGCUCUGUGGCUGUCUGUCAGCCUCCAGCCAGCCGAUGCUGCCUGCGUCUUACAGUUCAUAUGUGCGCCAUGAGGUUUCAUAUGUUUGCUUUAUAUAAAAUGAGAAGAAAAAAAGGAAAUACAUUUCUACAAAAUUCAGCCCUGCAAGGUGGCAUGAUUGACAUUUGAGUCCCACCUCAGAAAUAUACUCUUGGGCCAAGGGGGCGGUGGAAGGGGGGCGAGGUGGGUGAUAAAAGGGGGGAGAUGAGGUGGGUGAGGUGGGUGGUGGAAAGGGGGGGUGAGGUGGGUGGUGGAAAGGGGAGUAAGGUGGGUGGUGGAAGGGGGGUGAGGUGGGUGGUGGAAGGGGGG
RNAcentral lists this long non-coding RNA (1741 nucleotides) under Salmo salar (Atlantic salmon). Its description in RNAcentral is "lncRNA (ENSSSAG00000084709.1)". Lineage: Eukaryota; Metazoa; Chordata; Actinopteri; Salmoniformes; Salmonidae. The record is from RNAcentral.